Molecule: ribosomal RNA, 450 nt
Filed under: uncultured bacterium
Lineage: Bacteria
Description: partial 16S ribosomal RNA
Rfam family: Bacterial small subunit ribosomal RNA
Source: RNAcentral
GUGGGGAAUUUUGGACAAUGGGCGAAAGCCUGAUCCAGCAAUGCCGCGUGUGUGAAGAAGGCCUUCGGGUUGUAAAGCACUUUUGGCAGGGAAGAAACAGUGCGUGCUAAUACCAUGCGCGAAUGACGGUACCUGCAGAAUAAGCACCGGCUAACUACGUGCCAGCAGCCGCGGUAAUACGUAGGGUGCAAGCGUUAAUCGGAAUUACUGGACGUAAAGCGUGCGCAGGCGGCUUUGUAAGACGGAUGUGAAAGCCCCGGGCUCAACCUGGGAAGUGCAUUCGUGACUGCAAGGCUAGAGUGUGUCAGAGGGAGGUGGAAUUCCGCGUGUAGCAGUGAAAUGCGUAGAGAUGCGGAGGAACACCGAUGGCGAAGGCAGCCUCCUGGGAUAACACUGACGCUCAGGCACGAAAGCGUGGGGAGCAAACAGGAUUAGAAACCCUUGUAGUCC